Molecule: transfer-messenger RNA, 381 nt
Filed under: Dehalococcoidia
Lineage: Bacteria; Bacillati; Chloroflexota
Also listed under: 1 other name
Description: UBA2963 sp002719715 Standard tmRNA
Rfam family: transfer-messenger RNA
About the family: Bacterial tmRNA, also known as 10Sa RNA or SsrA, is named for its dual tRNA and mRNA-like properties. Its role is to liberate the mRNA from a stalled ribosome.
Source: RNAcentral
GGGGGUGUACUGGAUUCGACUGAUGUUGGAUCUUGUAUUCCGCAGGUCUGAGUGGGUUGGCUCAGUAAAAAAACCCAUUGUUUACAGACGGCAAUUCUAAUCGUUUGAAGAGCUUCGCCUAUGAGGGCGAGCUCGCCUUAGCAGCUUAACCUGCUAACCUCUUGCCUUUUGACGCAGAUAAAGGGGACAAGGGGUCAUUGAUCUGCAAAACAGAAAAGGUUUACCUAUUAAUAAACUGUAGUUCACUGAUUAUUCGGGGGCAAAUAAUUGUAAUAGGGAGUUCGAUGUUGGUAUCAAUAACUAUAAAAGAAAUCAACUAAACCUGUAGACGAUACAAAUGAAUUCAUCAACACGCGGGUUCGACUCCCGCCACCUCCACCA